This 689-nucleotide ribosomal RNA is filed under the name uncultured bacterium. Its description in RNAcentral is "bacterial SSU rRNA". It matches the Rfam family "Bacterial small subunit ribosomal RNA", at positions 120 to 790 of the family's 1533-position model. The record is from RNAcentral.
GGGAAUCUACCUCUUUGUGGGGAAUAACGCUCCGAAAGGAGUGGUAAUACCGCAUGAGAUCCAUGGCUGGGAUGCUGUGGAUGAAACCUGGGGACCGCAAGGCCUGGGCCAAGGAGAGGAUCCUGCGUCUGAUUAGCUAGUUGGUGAGGUAAUGGCCCACCAAGGCGACGAUCAGUAGCCGGCCUGAGAGGGUGAUCGGCCACACUGGAACUGAGACACGGUCCAGACUCCUACGGGAGGCAGCAGUGGGGAAUUUUGCGCAAUGGGCGAAAGCCUGACGCAGCAACGCCGCGUGGGUGAUGAAGGUCUUCGGAUCGUAAAACCCUGUCGUCGGGGACGAAGGUGGAGGGGUUAAUAGCCUCUUUGCUUGACGGUACCCGGAGAGGAAGCCCCGGCUAACUCUGUGCCAGCAGCCGCGGUAAUACAGAGGGGGCAAGCGUUAUUCGGAAUUAUUGGGCGUAAAGGGCGCGUAGGCGGCUUUUUAAGUGAGAUGUGUAAUCCCUGAGCUCAACUUGGGAACUGCAUCUCAUACUGGGAGGCUAGAGUACUGGAGAGGGUGGUAGAAUUCCACGUGUAGCGGUGAAAUGCGUAGAGAUGUGGAGGAAUACCAGUGGCGAAGGCGGCCACCUGGACAGUAACUGACGCUGAGGCGCGAAAGUGUGGGUAGCAAACAGGAUUAGAUACCCUGG